RNAcentral lists this ribosomal RNA (119 nucleotides) under Cebus imitator (Panamanian white-faced capuchin). The record is from RNAcentral. Lineage: Eukaryota; Metazoa; Chordata; Mammalia; Primates; Cebidae.
GUCUAUGGCCAUACCAUCCUGAACGCGCCCGAUCUCGUCAGAUCUCGGAAGGAAAGCAGGGUCGGGCCUGGUUAGUACUUGGAUGGUAGACUGCCUGGGAAUACCGGGUGCCGUAGGCU